RNAcentral lists this ribosomal RNA (748 nucleotides) under Bacillus pumilus. RNAcentral describes it as "bacterial SSU rRNA". It matches the Rfam family "Bacterial small subunit ribosomal RNA", at positions 50 to 781 of the family's 1533-position model. Lineage: Bacteria; Bacillati; Bacillota; Bacilli; Caryophanales; Bacillaceae. The record is from RNAcentral.
CUAUCAUGCAAGUCGAGCGGACAGAAGGGAGCUUGCUCCCGGAUGUUAGCGGCGGACGGGUGAGUAACACGUGGGUAACCUGCCUGUAAGACUGGGAUAACUCCGGGAAACCGGAGCUAAUACCGGAUAGUUCCUUGAACCGCAUGGUUCAAGGAUGAAAGACGGUUUCGGCUGUCACUUACAGAUGGACCCGCGGCGCAUUAGCUAGUUGGUGAGGUAACGGCUCACCAAGGCGACGAUGCGUAGCCGACCUGAGAGGGUGAUCGGCCACACUGGGACUGAGACACGGCCCAGACUCCUACGGGAGGCAGCAGUAGGGAAUCUUCCGCAAUGGACGAAAGUCUGACGGAGCAACGCCGCGUGAGUGAUGAAGGUUUUCGGAUCGUAAAGCUCUGUUGUUAGGGAAGAACAAGUGCAAGAGUAACUGCUUGCACCUUGACGGUACCUAACCAGAAAGCCACGGCUAACUACGUGCCAGCAGCCGCGGUAAUACGUAGGUGGCAAGCGUUGUCCGGAAUUAUUGGGCGUAAAGGGCUCGCAGGCGGUUUCUUAAGUCUGAUGUGAAAGCCCCCGGCUCAACCGGGGAGGGUCAUUGGAAACUGGGAAACUUGAGUGCAGAAGAGGAGAGUGGAAUUCCACGUGUAGCGGUGAAAUGCGUAGAGAUGUGGAGGAACACCAGUGGCGAAGGCGACUCUCUGGUCUGUAACUGACGCUGAGGAGCGAAAGCGUGGGGAGCGAACAGGAUUAG